Molecule: ribosomal RNA, 502 nt
Filed under: uncultured bacterium
Lineage: Bacteria
Description: partial 16S ribosomal RNA
Rfam family: Bacterial small subunit ribosomal RNA
Source: RNAcentral
ACUCAAAUGAAUUGACGGGGACCCGCACAAGCGGUGGAGCAUGUGGUUCAAUUCGACGCAACGCGAAAAACCUUACCUGGGUUUGACAUGUCGGUGGUAGUGAACCGAAAGGGGAGCGACUCCGCAAGGGGAGCCGACACAGGUGCUGCAUGGCUGUCGUCAGCUCGUGUCGUGAGAUGUUGGGUUAAGUCCCGCAACGAGCGCAACCCUCGCCCCUAGUUGCCAGCGGGUCAUGCCGGGAACUCUAGGGGGACUGCCCCGGUUAACGGGGAGGAAGGUGGGGAUGACGUCAAGUCAUCAUGGCCUUUAUGCCCAGGGCCACACACGUGCUACAAUGGCCGGUACAAAGGGUUGCAAACCCGUGAGGGGGAGCCAAUCCCAAAAAGCCGGUCCCAGUUGGGAUCGCAGUCUGCAACUCGACUGCGUGAACGCGGAAUCGCUAGUAAUCGCGAAUCAGCAGGUCGCGGUGAAUACGUUCCCGGGUCCUGUACACACCGCCCGU